RNAcentral lists this ribosomal RNA (1205 nucleotides) under Bacillus subtilis. RNAcentral describes it as "bacterial SSU rRNA". It matches the Rfam family "Bacterial small subunit ribosomal RNA", at positions 278 to 1503 of the family's 1533-position model. Lineage: Bacteria; Bacillati; Bacillota; Bacilli; Caryophanales; Bacillaceae. The record is from RNAcentral.
CAUGCGUAGCUCGACCUCGAGGGUAUCGCCACAUGGACUGGAACGCAGACUUCUACGAAGCAGCAGUAGGAUCUCCGCAUGGACGAGUCGACGGAGGCACGCCGCGGGAGUGAUGGAGUUUCGAUCGUAAGCUUCUGUUGUUAGGGAAGAACAAGUGCGUCAAAUAGGGCGGCACUGACGUACUUAACCAGAAAGCACGGCUACUACGUGCAGCAGCCGCGGUAAUACGUAGGUGGCAAGCGUGUCCGGAAUUAUUGGGCGUAAAGGGCUCGCAGGCGGUUUCUUAAGUCUGAUGUGAAAGCCCCCGGCUCAACCCGGGGAGGGUCAUUGGAAACUGGGGAACUUGAGUGCAGAAGAGGAGAGUGGAAUUUCCACGUGUAGCGGUGAAAUGCGUAGAGAUGUGGAGGAACACCAGUGGCGAAGGCGACUCUCUGGUCUGUAACUGACGCUGAGGAGCGAAAGCGUGGGGAGCGAACAGGAUUAGAUACCCUGGUAGUCCACGCCGUAAACGAUGAGUGCUAAGUGUUAGGGGGUUUCCGCCCCUUAGUGCUGCAGCUAACGCAUUAAGCACUCCGCCUGGGGAGUACGGUCGCAAGACUGAAACUCAAAGGAAUUGACGGGGGCCCGCACAAGCGGUGGAGCAUGUGGUUUAAUUCGAAGCAACGCGAAGAACCUUACCAGGUCUUGACAUCCUCUGACAAUCCUAGAGAUAGGACGUCCCCUUCGGGGGCAGAGUGACAGGUGGUGCAUGGUUGUCGUCAGCUCGUGUCGUGAGAUGUUGGGUUAAGUCCCGCAACGAGCGCAACCCUUGAUCUUAGUUGCCAGCAUUCAGUUGGGCACUCUAAGGUGACUGCCGGUGACAAACCGGAGGAAGGUGGGGAUGACGUCAAAUCAUCAUGCCCCUUAUGACCUGGGCUACACACGUGCUACAUGGACAGAACAAAGGGCAGCGAAACCGCGAGGUUAAGCCAAUCCCACAAAUCUGUUCUCAGUUCGGAUCGCAGUCUGCAACUCGACUGCGUGAAGCUGGAAUCGCUAGUAAUCGCGGAUCAGCAUGCCGCGGUGAAUACGUUCCCGGGCCUUGUACACACCGCCCGUCACACCACGAGAGUUUGUAACACCCGAAGUCGGUGAGGUAACCUUUAUGGAGCCAGCCGCCGAAGGUGGGACAGAUGAUUGGGGGAAGUCGUAACAACGAGCAUUGU